CAGCAGUAGCCACGGGAAUACAGAGGGUGCGAGCGUUAAUCGGAUUUACUGGGCGUAAAGCGUGCGUAGGCGGCUUCUUAAGUCGGAUGUGAAAUCCCUGAGCUUAACUUAGGAAUUGCAUUCGAUACUGGGAAGCUAGAGUAUGGGAGAGGAUGGUAGAAUUCCAGGUGUAGCGGUGAAAUGCGUAGAGAUCUGGAGGAAUACCGAUGGCGAAGGCAGCCAUCUGGCCUAAUACUGACGCUGAGGUACGAAAGCAUGGGGAGCAAACAGGAUUAGAUACCCGUGUAGUCCCUGUCUCUUAUAC
Molecule: ribosomal RNA, 304 nt
Filed under: uncultured bacterium
Lineage: Bacteria
Description: partial 16S ribosomal RNA
Rfam family: Bacterial small subunit ribosomal RNA
Source: RNAcentral